Cebus imitator (Panamanian white-faced capuchin) is the source of this 1870-nucleotide long non-coding RNA. RefSeq lists it as uncharacterized. NCBI's taxonomy places the organism in Eukaryota, Metazoa, Chordata, Mammalia, Primates, Cebidae. The record is from RefSeq and is a predicted model, not a curated record. The transcript is spliced from 3 exons.
GCUGGACAAGAAAGCAAGACUCUGUCUUUGCAAUAACAAAGGCUUUGUUAUGGAACAUUGCAAAUAUAUACCAGAGUGUCUAGUGAAGAAUUAGACAGUGAAUCCUAGCUGUGACCAUUACAAAACUCAUGGCAGGUCUUGCUCUUCCUAUAAACGACCCUCUUGCUUCAUCCAACCCUGUACUGGAUUUUUUUGAAGCAAAUUCCAGACACCAUCCUACUUUAUUUGUAAGCACUUCGUUAUGCAUCCCUAAAGAAUAAACACUGAAAACAUAACCAAGUCCAUGUGGUAAUCCCUUGAUCGCAUCAAAUACCUGGUCAACGUGCAGACGUCGCUACUGUUCUAGAAUCCAUGUGGCUUGUUUGAAUCGAGAUGCAAACAAUGCCUACACUUGCAUUUGGUUAAGUUUCUUUCUUUUCUUGAUUAAGUUCCCUUUAGAUUUCUGUUGCUUUUCUUUUCCUUGCAGUUAAUUUCGUUGAAGACUUUUUAAAUAUGCCAGAACUGCCUGGCUGGUGUCAUUCCACGUGUUCCUCUAACCCUUUUCUUUCUUGUAAACUAAUAUUCAGGUACAGAUAUUGCCCUGCAUUUUUUAAAGUCCAGCACAAGGUCUGCAAAUGGAAAUAGGGGAUAACUGGAACCUGCCCUGUGGGUGACUCAGCUUUGCGUGUGACGCCCUUGCCCUCUGUCUCCCCUCCCCCUACAAAGACUUUUUUGGCUGUGUAUGGUGGCUCAGGUUACGGACACUCCUGGGCUUGUGGAGAAACAGAACGGUGUUCUGAUGACCUCCACCCCUCCCAGGGGGAGGUUCUAAUCGUGCCUGGCUUUGGGGGCUGUGUCAUGACCUCCCACCUUCUGUCUCCUGUGUGCUCUGCUCUGCCAAGCUGCUGAGCCUUUGCAGUUCAGGAUCCGCACUCAGGAAAGUCCCUCCUGGAAGGUGACCGCCGGCCAUGGGGCGGGACUGUGGUCUUGUAUUCUGAAGUCCCGUAGUCGGGCCUAGGGUGGGCAGGUAUGAAGGUGUGGUGCUGUCGUGUUUGUGGUGGCAGGUGAAGUGUCUCGUGCCUGUCUCUUCCAGCCUAGGGGGCAGUAUGAGCUCUUCGCUGUGGUUGCGCACGUGGGAAUGGCGGACUCUGGUCAUUACUGUGCCUACAUCCGGAAUGCUGUGGACGGAAAAUGGUUCUGCUUCAAUGACUCCAAUAUUUGCUCAUUGUCCUGGGAAGACAUCCAGUGUACCUACGGAAAUCCUAACUACCACUGGCAGGAAACUGCGUAUCUUCUGGUUUACAUGAAGGCGGAAUGCUAAUGGAUAUGCCCAAAACCUUCAGAGAUGGACACACUGUCACUUUCCACUUCCGUCCUGGAUCUAUGGAGCCUUCUAAGAGGCUUUGAAAUGAGGAGAAGAAUCGUUUUCCAACUAUAUAAUUGAGGCUUAUUUAUAAUCAGGGAUAUUAUCAAAAUAUUUAACACGGAAACCCUGUAGGCCCUGAUCAGUCAGGAUGGACGCUUUCACCAGCAGACCCGACCAUGUGGCUGCUGGGUCUUGGGUGCUCCCUGCUGUGGUCAGCCCUUUAGUUAGGAGCUGUGGGAGGUCCGGGUGCUCCAGGGAGGAGAGCAGUGGCAGUGGGGGGCAUCUGGAUACUAAGGGUCAGUGGCAGUGGGUAUUUCAGUAUUUCACAACUGCUAUGCCCAGACUUGUGUGUACCGGCUGAAUAUCAGUGCUGUUUGUAAUUUCUCAGUUUUAGAACCAGUAUUAAUCCAUAUAAAUCAAGCAUUUUGUAACUGUUAUUCUUUUAUUCAGCAAACAUUUAUUGACAAUCUGUCCUCCAUAAGACAGUGUGAUAGCACAAUAAUGAAUAAAGUUCUUUUCCACAAA